UACGUAGGUGGCAAGCGUUGUCCGGAUUUAUUGGGCGUAAAGCGAGCGCAGGCGGUUUCUUAAGUCUGAGGUGAAAGCCCCCGGCUCAACCGGGGGGGUGCAUUUGAAACUGGGAGACUUGAGUGCAGAAGAGGAGAGUGGAAUUCCAUGUGUAGCGGUGAAAUUCGCAGAUAUAUGGAGGAACACCAGUGGCGAAGGCGGCCCUCUGGUCUGUAACUGACGCUGAGGCGCGAAAGCGUGGGGAGCAAACAGG
This 253-nucleotide ribosomal RNA is filed under the name uncultured bacterium. RNAcentral's name for it is "partial 16S ribosomal RNA". It matches the Rfam family "Bacterial small subunit ribosomal RNA", at positions 524 to 776 of the family's 1533-position model. The record is from RNAcentral.